UACGCGAGGGGCUAGCGUUGUUCGGAAUUACUGGGCGUAAAGCGCACGUAGGCGGCCUUGUAAGUUGGGGGUGAAAUCCCGGAGCUCAACUCCGGAACUGCCUCCAAAACUACAAAGCUCGAGGAUGUGAGAGGAGAGUGGAAUUCCGAGUGUAGAGGUGAAAUUCGUAGAUAUUCGGAAGAACACCAGUGGCGAAGGCGUCUCUCUGGCACAUUUCUGGCGCUGAGACGCGAAAGCUUGGGGAGCAAACAGG
This 253-nucleotide ribosomal RNA is filed under the name uncultured bacterium. RNAcentral's name for it is "partial 16S ribosomal RNA". It matches the Rfam family "Bacterial small subunit ribosomal RNA", at positions 524 to 776 of the family's 1533-position model. The record is from RNAcentral.